RNAcentral lists this ribosomal RNA (254 nucleotides) under uncultured bacterium. Its description in RNAcentral is "partial 16S ribosomal RNA". It matches the Rfam family "Bacterial small subunit ribosomal RNA", at positions 524 to 776 of the family's 1533-position model. The record is from RNAcentral.
UGCGGGGGGAGCAAGCGUUGUUCGGAUUUACUGGGCGUAAAGGGCGCGUAGGCGGCCAGCACAAGUCAGUUGUGAAAUCUCCGAGCUUAACUCGGAACGGUCAACUGAUACUGUGCGGCUAGAGUGCGGAAGGGGCAACUGGAAUUCUUGGUGUAGCGGUGAAAUGCGUAGAUAUCAAGAGGAACACCUGCGGCGAAGGCGGGUUGCUGGGCCGACACUGACGCUGAUGCGCGAAAGCCAGGGGAGCGAACGGG